AUCACAGUGACAGGCUGCGCCAGGAUGGGGGCACGACCCUAGGGCAGAGGAGGAAGAGGAGGAAGGGGUGGGGGGGAGCCGGCAGCCCCCCCUCCUCCCCAUGCCGGCGCUUCUCCGUCUGUCCGACCCGACGGUCCGCGAAGUCUGUGCGUCCUGGGACCAGCGGCCUGUAGCCAGAGAGGCCAGCGCGUAGCUUAUUGCUUGUGUGAUCCAUGGAAGAUCCAUGCAGGAGAGAACCAAGCGGGCGGGGGCUCCGGGGGGGUCCUCAAAGGAGCAGAGUCUGUGAGUCCAGAAACCGGAACAGAGAGUGUGUGUGUGGGGGGGGGACAGACAGACUGACGGGGCGCACAGGGAUGGACGGACAGAAUGGUGCACAUGGGGACGGACAGUCGGAGGGGUAUGUAUAGAGACAGACAGACACCUGGAGGGGUGCAUACAGGGACAGGCAGCUGGAAGGGGGUAGAUGAGGACAGACAGACAGUUGGAGGGGGGUGUAUGGGGACACACAGACGGAGGGGGGUUGAUGAGGACAGACAGGGGGGUGUAUGGAGACACACAGCCGGAGGGGUGUUCAUGAGGACUGACAGACAGUCGGAGGGGGGGUGUAUGGGGACACACAGCUGGAGGGGGGUUGAUGAGGACAGACAGACAGUCGGAAGGGGGUGUAUGGGGACACACAGCCGGAGGGGGGUUGAUGAGGACAGACAGACAGUCGGAGAGGGGUGUAUGGGGACACAGCCGGAGGGGGG
Molecule: non-coding RNA, 749 nt
Organism: Chelonoidis abingdonii (Abingdon island giant tortoise)
Lineage: Eukaryota; Metazoa; Chordata; Testudines; Testudinidae
Source: RefSeq, a predicted model, not a curated record